This 251-nucleotide ribosomal RNA is filed under the name uncultured prokaryote. Its description in RNAcentral is "partial 16S rRNA". It matches the Rfam family "Bacterial small subunit ribosomal RNA", at positions 525 to 775 of the family's 1533-position model. The record is from RNAcentral.
ACGUAGGGGGCGAGCGUUGUCCGGAAUUACUGGGCGUAAAGGGUGCGUAGGCGGCCGAUUAAGUUGGAUGUGAAAUACCCGGGCUUAACCUGGGGGGUGCAUCCAAUACUGGUUGGCUAGAGUGCAGGAGAGGGAAGCGGAAUUCCUAGUGUAGCGGUGAAAUGCGUAGAUAUUAGGAGGAACACCAGUGGCGAAGGCGGCUUUCUGGACUGUAACUGACGCUGAUGCACGAAAGCGUGGGGAGCAAACAG